RNAcentral lists this long non-coding RNA (1303 nucleotides) under Oryzias sinensis (Chinese medaka). RNAcentral's name for it is "lncRNA (ENSOSIG00000004555.1)". The record is from RNAcentral. Lineage: Eukaryota; Metazoa; Chordata; Actinopteri; Beloniformes; Adrianichthyidae.
UUGGAAAUUUGAUUUGGAACAUCCAUCCAUCAAUUUUACAAACUUGCUUAACCCCUUUAGAAUUCACGAACAUGCUGGAGCCGAUCCUAGCCAAUGUUGGGUGGAGGCUGGAACACCCAUGAUGAUUUGCCAGUACAAUUCAGGGCAGUUUUUGGAAUACUACGUUGCCAAUUCUGAUGGGUGGAGAAGAUUUGCAGUCUCUUGGUUGUCAUCUUACUUAAGACCAGAUCUUUCUGGACAAGACGCCCAUCUAUCACAGAGCCACUUGUAUGUAAACGACUCCACAAGUUCUAUUGUGUUCCAAUCACCCCUCAGACAGGUUUUAUCAGACCGUGAAAGGAUCUUGAACAAAGACCACUGGAGCAACACAAACAGUCCCAAAUAAGGAUCUACUCCCUCGAAGUUACAGUGGCUCUUUCAAAUCUACUUUGUUGAUUUUAUCGAGACCAAGCUUUCUGACGCAGGCCAGUACAUUUCUCACUAGAAUCCCUUAAUAGUGUUGGGAUUUUAUUGAACAGUGUCCUUGGGUUUCAUGAAAGGCGUUUUAAAUAAAAUGGAUUAUUAUUAUUAUUACUCUGCACAGAUCAAGACACCCCAUGCUAUGCUGCAAAGCAGCCCCAGAACAUAAUAGAGCCUCCUCCAUGUUUCACAGUAGGGGCCGUGUGCUUCUCUUGAUAUGCUUCAUUUUCCGUCUGUGAACAUAGAGCUGAUGUGCCCUUCCAAAAAGUUCAAUUUUUGUCUCAGCUGUACAUAGGACAUUUUCUCAGUAUCUUUGUGGCUCGUCAACAUUUAGUCUGGCAAAUUCCAGUAUGUUUUUUUUAGAAUUUGUUUUCAACCCUGGUGUCCUCCUUGGUCGUCUCUCAAGCCCACUUUGUGUCAAACGAUGAUGGAUGGUGUGAUCCGACACUGAUUAUCCUUGAGCUUGAACUUCACCUUUUAUCUUUUUUUUAGACCUGUCUAGGCUUUUUUGUUAUCAUUUUUACUAUCCUUCUCUUUAAUUUGUCUUCAUUUUCCUCUUGAGGCCUCAACCAGGGAUGUUGGCUAAAGUCCCAUGGAUCCUAAAUUUCUGAACAAUAAGUACAACAAGAACAUCAAGCUUCUUGGAGAGGAUCUUAUAGCCUUUUCUUUUAACAUGCUUGUCUUUAAUUUUCUUUCUAAUAAACUCUUUCUUUGCUUCCUCUGUUCCAUGUUGAGUGUGGUACACACCACGUCACAACAAGGCACAGUGCCUACCUGUAGCCCUUUACAUAGGCCCACUGACUGAUUACAAAAUUGCAGACACCUAUGAUGCCAAUUAGUGGUC